Molecule: ribosomal RNA, 382 nt
Filed under: Mytilus galloprovincialis (Mediterranean mussel)
Lineage: Eukaryota; Metazoa; Mollusca; Bivalvia; Mytilida; Mytilidae
Description: partial 16S ribosomal RNA
Rfam family: Bacterial large subunit ribosomal RNA
Source: RNAcentral
UAACGUGAGCGUCCUAAGGUAGCGCGAUAAUUUGCUUUUCAAUUGAAGGAUGGUAUGAAAGGGUUAACGAAGAAGGUGCUGUGUCUAAAAAUUCAAUUUAAACUAACUUUAAGGUGAAGAGGCCUUUAUGUAAAAGAAGGACGACAAGACCCUAUGAAGCUUUAUCUUAAUUGGAGCUCUCAGGCUCUUAUACGAUUUUGAUGGGAGAUCAGUAGAAAUAAGUCUUCUACUAUCAUAUUAAUCUUACUAGUACUUCCUAACUUUAUAUGUGUGGCUAGCUACUCUAGGGAUAACAGCGCAAUUUCUCCCGAAAGAUGGUAUUGGAGGGGAAGAUUGCGACCUCGAUGUUGGCUUUAGAUAUCCUAGAGGCGUAGAAGCUUCU